Molecule: long non-coding RNA, 709 nt
Filed under: Trifolium pratense (red clover)
Lineage: Eukaryota; Viridiplantae; Streptophyta; Magnoliopsida; Fabales; Fabaceae
Description: long non-coding RNA (TPRA_LNC000976)
Source: RNAcentral
UGAGAUCGAGUUCUGCUAGUGUAUUUAACGGGAGGUAAACGUAAAUAUUGAUUGACAAAUUAAUACAAACCAUGAUGACAAUCUCUAAUACCACAUAAUUUCUGCAUGGCUUUUAAAUGAUAAGAAAAAUGAUAUAUGAAAUUAAAUAUAUAUAAUAUAUAAACAAUAGCUAAAUAGGCCACAUUAAUCAGAUGGUACAAUCACAGUCAACAAUAUGUAGUAGUAAUCAAUAAAACAUACCCAAAUAUAUCAUAAAUUACAAAUGAAACCCCAACAGAAACACCCUUAAAUAACAUAAACAAAUUUUAACAAACACAUAAAUAGUACAAAGUACUAGAAUUCAUCAACAUUAAGUACUUAUGGUAUAGGCACACCAGGGACACCAGGAAUCUGAGGAAUUUGAGGCACAGUUGGUAUAAUAGGAACAGUUGGAAUUUGAGGAAUUGUUGGCACAGUUGGUAUACCAGGAACAUUAGGGACUAAUGGAACACCUAAGUUUGGAAUAGUUGGUAAUGUUGGCAAUGUUGGUAGAGUAGGUAGUGUUGGCAAAUCAACUUUGGAAACUUCAUGUAUUUUUUGAAUGUUACGUGCCCCUUCAACAUUUGUCAUUGAUGAAAAUGCUAUAAGUACAAGUGCUAAAAUCAAUGACCAAAAAUUCAUGGAAGCCAUUUUUUUUAGCUUAAUACUAUUAGACUAUGAUAAUAGUUUU